GGUAAUGGCUUACCAAGGCGAUGAUGCAUAGCCGAGUUGAGAGACUGAUCGGCCACAAUGGGACUGAGACACGGCCCAUACUCCUACGGGAGGCAGCAGUAGGGAAUCUUCCACAAUGGGCGAAAGCCUGAUGGAGCAACGCCGCGUGUGUGAUGAAGGGUUUCGGCUCGUAAAACACUGUUGUAAGAGAAGAAUGACAUUGAGAGUAACUGUUCAAUGUGUGACGGUAUCUUACCAGAAAGGAACGGCUAAAUACGUGCCAGCAGCCGCGGUAAUACGUAUGUUCCAAGCGUUAUCCGGAUUUAUUGGGCGUAAAGCGAGCGCAGACGGUUAUUUAAGUCUGAAGUGAAAGCCCUCAGCUCAACUGAGGAAUUGCUUUGGAAACUGGAUGACUUGAGUGCAGUAGAGGAAAGUGGAACUCCAUGUGUAGCGGUGAAAUGCGUAGAUAUAUGGAAGAACACCAGUGGCGAAGGCGGCUUUCUGGACUGUAACUGACGUUGAGGCUCGAAAGUGUGGGUAGCAAACAGGAUUAGAUACCCUGGUAGUCCACACCGUAAACGAUGAGUGCUAGGUGUUUGAGGGUUUCCGCCCUUAAGUGCCGCAGCUAACGCAUUAAGCACUCCGCCUGGGGAGUACGACCGCAAGGUUGAAACUCAAAGGAAUUGACGGGGACCCGCACAAGCGGUGGAGCAUGUGGUUUAAUUCGAAGCAACGCGAAGAACCUUACCAGGUCUUGACAUCCCUUGACAACUCCAGAGAUGGAGCGUUCCCUUCGGGGACAAGGUGACAGGUGGUGCAUGGUUGUCGUCAGCUCGUGUCGUGAGAUGUUGGGUUAAGUCCCGCAACGAGCGCAACCCUUAUUACUAGUUGCCAGCAUUCAGUUGGGCACUCUAGUGAGACUGCCGGUGACAAACCGGAGGAAGGUGGGGAUGACGUCAAAUCAUCAUGCCCCUUAUGACCUGGGCUACACACGUGCUACAAUGGCGUAUACAACGAGUUGCCAACCCGCGAGGGUGAGCUAAUCUCUUAAAGUACGUCUCAGUUCGGAUUGUAGGCUGCAACUCGCCUACAUGAAGUCGGAAUCGCUAGUAAUCGCGGAUCAGCACGCCGCGGUGAAUACGUUCCCGGGUCUUGUACACACCGCCCGUCACACCAUGAGAGUUUGUAACACCCAAAGCCGGUGGGGUAACCUUCGGGAGCCAGCCGUCU
This 1209-nucleotide ribosomal RNA is filed under the name Weissella confusa. Its description in RNAcentral is "bacterial SSU rRNA". It matches the Rfam family "Bacterial small subunit ribosomal RNA", at positions 256 to 1458 of the family's 1533-position model. Lineage: Bacteria; Bacillati; Bacillota; Bacilli; Lactobacillales; Lactobacillaceae. The record is from RNAcentral.